Gallus gallus (chicken) is the source of this 1246-nucleotide long non-coding RNA. The record is from Ensembl. Lineage: Eukaryota; Metazoa; Chordata; Aves; Galliformes; Phasianidae.
GUAAUAUCAGUAACUGCUGGGUAUGUGGCCAAGUCAACAAUUUCAGUUCUCCACUUCUUGGAGUCGCUAUGAGUAACUGGAUGGAGGUGAAUCCGUAUGAGAUGCUCAAUGCCUCAUACCAGUGUAAAACAGGAAGUGCCUCCCUAGAACUAAUAUCUUUUAGGAUGAUGUUGGUAAACACUUCUAUACAAUAUGUAUGUUGUAAUACCUCAGGAGCAUGGUUAGGACAGUUUAACAAAAGUAGACCGAGGUAACUGUGGUUGAAGGUAGAGUGGCCAAGGGGAAUCAGUUAACAAAUCACACAAAAGGAAAAAGAGGGUCUGAAUGAAGAUGGGCAGACUACCUGUACAGCAGGAGCACUACCCAGGUGACAUGAGCAAUAAACAUGUCAUGUGACUUACCAGAUGGUUAUUAGUGAUUGUGCAGAGAUUUAAGAGCCUGAGAACAGUUGCCAUAUGAUUGGACAGGGGAUUGUACGAUGGGCUAUCUGGCUCCUCCAUUACAAACGUUUCUUACUGAUAGCAUGACUGGCAUUGUACGAGGUGUUUGGAGGAAAUUUAAUAAAUGGGGUGUCUCUAAUCUCUUGUUUAGAUAUAAGACUGGGUAUCAUAGUUCUGCUAGAGCUUUGAUUCUCUCCUUAGGUAUAGUACAGCUGGAACGGGCUAUAGUGAAUAUUUCAGCAGAAAAUUAGGUAAUAUCAAAUUCAACUGCUGAAGCUCUUUAUCACUUGAACUGGAAGAAUUGAACCUGAAAGAACUAAUGGGAGAAGAUUGGGACCAGCCUGAAUCUGAUAUCCUGGGAGUGAGAAACACUUCUAAGGUGCAAGUCAAAGUCUGAAGUCCAGUGCUGUUGUUGAAGAGCACCAAUGCUUCAGUUCCUUGUUCACUAUGGGCCUCUCCUGCUUCAGUUCUGAAAACAUCAAACACCACCUGCAAGCCUGACAAGCAGCGGGACAUAAGUGAUGCGCCCCGUAAUCUGUUCAAAGUCUCUUGUACAGUAACACUUCUGUUUCUUUGAAACCACAAAGCUUUUUGUUUGUUUGUUUUUAAUUUCUGAUGGAUUAUGGUUCUGGGAAUUGCCAAAUCUCUUUAAAUUGAGGGUUUUUUUUUUUUUUGAGAACCUGUAUGCUGUUUUUUUGUUUGUUUUUUUUCUCUUGGUAGUAUGUAAAUUUUUCUGUGUGUGUGUGUGCUAUUCACACACUGACUGAGAAUGCUAUUAGUUGAAUUGUUCUGGAGAACAAAUUGCC